ACCGGUCGGGCCCCCAAGACCGGCUGACGUGGGCCUCGCCUCGGGCGACUCCCGCCGGGCUAGUGGCUGGCCGUGUGGUGACCUUGGGCGAGUUACUUCGCACAGCCACCCAGGGGCCUCUUCUCCAACACGAUAGCACUGCACCCGGAGGGCCUUCAGACCUGAGCUGAAAUCUACACCACCGGCUCUCUGACUAUCAGGCUUUGGACUAUACUUUGGGCUUUCCUGGGUCUCUUACCUGGCAGACAGCAGAUUUUGGAACUUUUCAGCCUCCAUAAUCAUGCAUGGAAUUCAAAUCGCGGAGUGACAGGCUGUGUGUGGGGCUGAUUGUCUGGGUCAGAGACAUCACAACUGGCUGGUGAGGAGAGCUUUCUGACAACAGGAGCUGUCCAACAAGGAGUGGGCUGCUGUCACCGAGGAGCUGAAGCGGCCGACGGCUGACCUUCCACUGGGCACUAGGCAGGGCCUGGAUGGAGGGAGUCUUAAAGUAGGAGGGAGAAGCCAAGGAAAUAGCUCUCUAGAAGCAUUUUGUACACUGAAAAGUGUCAUUGAAACGCUGUCACAGUUCUAAGAGGAGACAUUGCUCCUCUGAAAACCAGCCUCACUCCCUAAGCUGAUGUAUUUCCAGAAGCAGGGCCUGAGCUGCCACAUGCAGGCCCUGAGGACUUGAGGCACAUCGUUCUUUUUUUGGGUCUCAUCUGUGAAUCAGCCACUCAAACCUAGUGGCUCUCAGCCUGCAAGUUCAUUCAUGCAAUGCAGGGCUUCUCCACUGCUCCCCCAAACCUCCUCAGGCCACCCCUGCGUGUGCACCCACCGAUAUGGCCUGUUCUGAACAGGUGACCCUCAGCUGCCAGCAUCACUGCCCUUCAAAACCUGACUUAUCUCUCGUGUUUUACAGUUACCAUAGCAGAAAGAUUUAUCUUCAUCUUUUACCAUUUAAAAAUACUAAUGGAAUUACUGUUUUUGUCUGUUUCUGUUUUGAAGCCAUACGAUUUUUCUCUCACUGCCACCACAUUUGUGAUGGCCUUAAAAAUUAUUCUUAAAGAUAAAUAUAAUUCUAGAAAAA
Homo sapiens (human) is the source of this 1066-nucleotide long non-coding RNA. Ensembl annotates it as SCMH1 divergent transcript. Its record names the gene SCMH1-DT. The record is from Ensembl. Lineage: Eukaryota; Metazoa; Chordata; Mammalia; Primates; Hominidae.